This is a long non-coding RNA of Homo sapiens (human), 305 nucleotides long. Ensembl annotates it as VIPR1 antisense RNA 1. Its record names the gene VIPR1-AS1. The record is from Ensembl. NCBI's taxonomy places the organism in Eukaryota, Metazoa, Chordata, Mammalia, Primates, Hominidae.
AGAACCACAGCACAGACUCUCCAAAGAGAAGCCAGGCCAAGAAGAAUCCCAGGACUGGAAGGCCUUGUGGGACGUCCCAGGGCAUUCAUCUACUAUGUGUUUAUUGCACCCUUUUUCCAUGUGAGGCACAUGCCAGGGACUGGGCACAUGGUAUGAACAAGACACAGGUCAUCGGUGUCCUCUUGAGCUCCCUGGCUUGGCAGCAGAUGCAUACCUGGGAAGGAUGCUAGGUCAUCCGGGAACUCUACCUCCUUCAAAUCCCUAAGGACUGUGCUCCCAAUCCGCUUACGCUCAAGGAAGAACUG